This 230-nucleotide ribosomal RNA is filed under the name uncultured bacterium. RNAcentral describes it as "partial 16S ribosomal RNA". It matches the Rfam family "Bacterial small subunit ribosomal RNA", at positions 567 to 791 of the family's 1533-position model. The record is from RNAcentral.
ACGUGCGCAGGCGGGUUAUGUAAGACAAGAUGUGAAAUACCCCGGGCUCAACCUGGGAACUGCAUUUGUGACUGCAUGGCUAGAGUACGGUAGAGGGGGAUGGAAUUCCGCGUGUAGCAGUGAAAUGCGUAGAUAUGCGGAGGAACACCGAUGGCGAAGGCAAUCCCCUGGACCUGUACUGACGCUCAUGCACGAAAGCGUGGGGAGCAAACAGGAUUAGAUACCCCAGU